CAUUCGUAAUUCGGUACUAUCGAGUAGUUAACCAAUUAUAGAAGUUUCUGAUUAGACUAACCUUCAACUACAGACGACAUAAUCUAGCCGAAACUUUCGUCAGAUCUUGACAUGUGCUAGUAUUUCGUAUUUCAUUUUAAAAAUGAAACUGAUUACACGUCCCAACGACUUCUCCGGUUUGAAAAUUUUACUGGCAUCUGAAUUCCUAAAUCUUCCCAUCGAAUUAGAAGUUACGCCAUCAGCGGAGAAAACCGUACUCAUCGUCAAUGACGACUGCCAACUCUUCUCGUGUAACGCAGCUGUGUGGUAUCUAGCUUGCCUGAGUGGCCAAAACAAAGUCAAUUUACAGCAAGAUAAAUGGAUGGACUGGGAAAGUACAACGCUACAUCCUGAAAUUCAGGCUUUUCUGAAUAAACAACCCCAACAGCUCAUCCCUACUCUAGAACAUCUUGAUAAGGCUACUCGAAACAAAUUUCUCAUCGGUAAUUCUUUGUCUGCAGCUGACAUAGUCAUUUUCUGUUCACUAAUUGUGAUUAGUGAUUGCAAGUUCAUGGCAAAUUGCCCCAACGUAACCAAGUGGUUUAAUAAUAUGUACACAAGUGCUCAAUUCAAGAUUGCAGCCUCUAAAUUGGACAUCAAAAUUAAGCAGACAGAACCAGAUCAGUGUGAAGAGGAAGAGGCGGCCAUCAGUCUAGAAGACAUUGAACACGCAGUCAAACAUUGGAAAACAAGCAAUAUCAACAAACCUAAGCCAAUUACUCAUCCUGUGUUACCGGUUGAAGGGGAACGAAAUGUUCUAAUCACGAGUGCCCUACCUUACGUGAAUAAUUUCCCACAUUUGGGCAAUAUCAUUGGCUGUGUCCUCUCUGCUGACGUCUUUGCUCGCUACUGCCGAUUGCGGAACUAUAACACGCUGUACAUUUGCGGGACGGACGAGUAUGGCACUGCUACUGAAACCAAAGCAUUGGAAGAAGGACUGACACCUCAGCAAAUUUGUGAUAAAUACUUCAAGCUCCAUGAUGGAGUUUACAAGUGGUUUGAUAUCAGCUUUGACCAUUUUGGACGUACUACUACUCCCAAUCAAACAAAGAUUGCUCAGGAUAUCUUUCUGAAACUGUAUCGAAACAAUUACUUGACAGAAGAUACUAUGGAACAGCUGUUGUGUGAGCAUUGCAAAAUAUUUUUGGCUGAUCGAUUCGUGGAAGGUACUUGUCCCUUGUGUGGUUACGAGGAUGCCAGAGGUGACCAAUGCGACAAGUGCGGUAAGCUGGUUAAUGCCGUUGAGCUUAAGUCACCAAGGUGCAAGAUGUGUCGUCAUGCUCCUGUGAUCAAAACGUCAAAGCAUCUCUUUCUCAAUUUGCCUCUGCUUGAAGACAAAUUGACGAGCUGGAUGGAUAGUGUGACCAGUGGUUGGACUCAUAAUGCCCGCGUUAUUGCCAAUUCCUGGGUGAAGGAAGGCUUGAAGCCACGCUGUAUUACUCGUGACUUAAAGUGGGGCACCCCUGUCCCUCUUGAAGGAUAUACAGACAAGGUCUUUUACGUGUGGUUUGAUGCACCCAUUGGCUACCUUAGCAUCACGGCUUGCUAUACAGAAGAAUGGGAACGCUGGUGGAAGAAUCGCGAACAGGUCGUCCAUUAUGAAUUCAUGGCCAAGGACAAUGUUCCCUUCCAUUCUGUUGUUUUUCCGUCUUCGCAGCUCGGCACACACGAUCCGUAUACACUGGUCAAUCAUCUGGUUGCCACCGAGUAUCUCAAUUACGAGGAUGGCAAGUUCUCAAAGAGUCGUGGAGUCGGGGUUUUUGGAAACAAUGCCCAAGAAACUGGCAUUCCAGCCGAUGUCUGGCGAUUUUACCUACUUUAUGUCCGUCCGGAAUCACAGGAUUCAACUUUCUCGUGGUCUGAUUUGAUGGCCAAGAACAACACCGAAUUGCUUAAUAAUCUAGGCAACUUUGCUAAUCGUGCACUGAGUUUCUUGGAAAAAAAUUAUGGUUCCUGCGUUCCAGCCAUGACGCUAGGACAAGAAGAAAAGAUGUUGCUAGUCCGCAUCAACCGCGAAUUGAAGCAAUACAUCGCGCUCCUGGAGAAUGCGAAAUUGCGUGAUGCUAUUAAACCCAUCUUCAGCAUAUCGCGUCUAGGCAAUCAGUUGAUGCAAGCCGCACAGCCAUGGGUGUUGAUUAAGAGUACGAUAGAAGAGGAGAAGGCAAAGGCGGGCACAGUCAUUGGGUUAUGUGCCAACAUAAUUUGUCAGUUGUCGGUCAUGUUACUCCCAUACAUGCCGAACCUGUCUGCGAAACUCCAGGAACAACUCGGUGUCGGACCAGACAUCAACCAUUUGAUACCGGAAUUUACUUGCCGUCUACCUGCUGGCCACCGAAUCGGCAAGCCUGCUCCUUUAUUCCAAAAAAUAGAACAGGUCCAAAUCGAUGAAUUAAAGAAGCGGUUCUCUGGCGCCCAAGUUGGAUCUGCUUCUCCAGGGAAUCCAGCCGUUGCUACUCCAGCCCCUCCGUUGGCAGAAGCCUCAAAUACCCUUGAAACUCCAGAAAAUCUGGCUCUGAAAGUGGCCCAGCAGGGUGACAAAGUGCGCCAAUUGAAAGCUGCCAAGGCUGAGAAAGCUAUUGUUACAGCUGCUGUAGCCGAACUGUUGGAUUUGAAGAAAAGACUGGCAACUGCGGAAGAAGUAGCAACUAAGCAAACAAAUGACACACCAGCUGCAACGACCGAGAAGCCUACACUGACAAAUAGCGUUGAAAACCUGACCAAACAAGUUACCGAACAGGGAGACAAAGUUCGUGGUCUGAAAACCACCAAAGCAGACAAAGCUUCAAUCGAUGCGGCCGUCGCCGUUCUCCUGGAAUUGAAAAAACAACUUGCUCUAGCCGAAGGAAAAGAUCCGGCUGAGAGCAGUGGUAAUGCAACCGGUAAAAGCAAGAAGAAGGGACAACAAAAAUAGUUUUUGGUGGUAUUUUCCAACUACUCGGUCACGCUGCUUCUGGUCUUGGAGUAUACAAGCGUUCUAUUAAGGGAGGAAAAAAAAAAUACAUGGUCGGGAAUUCGGCGUCCCUGUCUCCCAGAAAAGUUGACGGAAUGAAAGAAUUUAUCGUAGUGGCUGUAGAACAUCAAAAAGAAAGACAACAAAAAUCCUGGACAAUUGUGCUUGACAAACUUGGAGGAUGCGUAUCAUUUCUAUUCCAUCAUUUAAAACCUGAAUAUAUCUCUGAAUUAUCGUAACGUGACACCCAGAUAGACACAUUUGGAUGUUUUAGAAAUAUUUCGCUGGCAGGUUACAUUCAUAGAUGGAUUGCCGCAAACCUGCCGCCACGACCCGAUGUUCCAUGCUGCCUGUUCCAGAGCAAAAGCCAGCACGCUCGGAUGCGUUUUCAACUCACGGAAUGUAAUCCUUUGGCCAUUUUAUAACGUGUUCAUAUUAGGGCCAAUGAUAAUGGGGGAGGUGAAACUCUCACGGCGACAGAUUUCAUGACCAUCUGCAGAAGAAAAAGGAUGAUGACUAGUUUUUAUUGAAAAUACCUAAAAGGACAAAAGUGACCAAACUUGGUCAAGUCGCCAAAUGAAAUGCACGAGAAAGAAUAAUACCGCCCUCAACUGAAAGUGUGGUUCAACUUUGAAUCUCUCUUUCCCAUUGCUGGCUGCCAUUUGAUAUGCUGGAUUGAUCAAGAAGUAACAAAUGAGGUUAAAUUAGGAAUACAACUAUGGAACUUGGCAUCGAUCAUGUCUACUUGUAAGAAAAAAUAUGCGAGGACUGG
This 3761-nucleotide unclassified non-coding RNA is filed under the name Daphnia magna. RNAcentral's name for it is "methionine--tRNA ligase, cytoplasmic, transcript variant X1". The record is from RNAcentral. Lineage: Eukaryota; Metazoa; Arthropoda; Branchiopoda; Diplostraca; Daphniidae.